CUACGGGACGCUGCAGUGGGGAAUAUUGGACAAUGGGGGAAACCCUGAUCCAGCAAUGCCACGUGUGUGAAGAAGGCCUGCGGGUUGUAAAGCACUUUCGGCUGGGAGGACUGCUUCUAGCACUAAUAUUGUUGGAAGUUGACGUUACCUUCAGAAGAAGCACCGGCUAACUCCGUGCCAGCAGCCGCGGUAAUAGCGGAGGGUGCAAGCGUUAAUCGGAAUUACUGGGCGUAAAGCGCGCGUAGGCGGCUAGAUCAGUCGGGUGUGAAAGCCCCGGGCUUAACCUGGGAACUGCAUCCGAUACUGUCUAGCUUGAGUACAGGAGAGGAGAGUGGAAUUCCACAUGUAGCGGUGAAAUGCGUAGAUAUGUGGAGGAACACCAAUGGCGAAGGCAGCUCUCUGGCCUGAUACUGACGCUGAGGUGCGAAAGCGUGGGGAGCAAACAGGAUUAGAUACCCCCGUAGUC
RNAcentral lists this ribosomal RNA (466 nucleotides) under uncultured bacterium. Its description in RNAcentral is "partial 16S ribosomal RNA". It matches the Rfam family "Bacterial small subunit ribosomal RNA", at positions 339 to 795 of the family's 1533-position model. The record is from RNAcentral.